AUACCUACUUGGCGUCGAGAUACCGUGAUCAUGCAGGCGGUUCCCCCGGGGUGCGGCUGCUCCAUUGCACUGCGGAGUGGUUGACCCUUGCGAUUAUUUUUAUAUUUUAUAAGUUUUGUUGAAUUAUUAAUAUUCCAUAGCUUAAAAUUUUAAUGUGGU
Small nuclear RNA from Bombyx mandarina (wild silkworm), 159 nucleotides. The record is from RefSeq and is a predicted model, not a curated record. Lineage: Eukaryota; Metazoa; Arthropoda; Insecta; Lepidoptera; Bombycidae.